CCAAUAGCGUAUAUUAAAGUUGCUGCAGUUAAAAAGCUCGUAGUUGAAUUUCGGGACCAAUAUGUCGGUCGUGCCUCGGUACGUACUGGCAUCGUUGGUUUCUCCCUUCUGACGAACCAUGAUGUCAUUUAUUUGGUGUCGUGGGGAAUCAGGACUGUUACUUUGAAAAAAUUAGAGUGUUUAAAGCAGGCUCACGCUUGAAUACAUUAGCAUGGAAUAAUGAAAUAGGACGUUUGAUUCUAUUUUGUUGGUUUCUAGGAUCGACGUAAUUAUUAAUAGGGAUAGUUGGGGGCAUUAGUAGUCAAUUGUCAGAGGUGAAAUUCUUGGAUUUAUUGAAGACUAACUACUGCGAAAGCAUUUGCCAAGGAUGUUUUCAUUAAUCAAGAACGAAAGUUAUGGGAUCGAAGACGAUCAGAUACCGUCGUAGUCUUAACCAUAAGCUAUGCCGACUAGGGAUCGGAUGAUGUUAAUUUUUUAAUGACUCAUUCGGCGCCUUACG
This 499-nucleotide ribosomal RNA is filed under the name uncultured Glomeromycotina. RNAcentral's name for it is "partial small subunit ribosomal RNA". It matches the Rfam family "Eukaryotic small subunit ribosomal RNA", at positions 591 to 1092 of the family's 1831-position model. The record is from RNAcentral. Lineage: Eukaryota; Fungi; Glomeromycota.